UGGACCUAAAAGGACAGAAGUGAAAGUUACAGAAAUUCAGCCAAAUCUGUUGAGCAAGUCUGUCAGAAUAUACUGAUCCCAUAAGUGUUGAUUUCAGCCCCUCACACUUGGAUUUGAGCAUCUAAACAAAGAGGCUUUCAGACAGGACACAACCAUGGCACUGCUGGACUUUAAAUUAGAAAUGUCCUAAUUAAGUUUUUGUCUUUUUUGGUUCUGUUCCGAUUUGAGUCAUUUAAUAUUUGGUAUCUACCAAUUCCUGAUAAUUAGGUGUAUUACCGGUUGCCCCACCAGGUGGUUACUGUUAAGUCCUAUGGCAACCAGUAGAGGUGGUCCCUCCUACACUAUAUUGCCAAAAGUAUUUGCUCACCUGCCUUGACUUGCAUAUGAACAUAAGUGACAUCCCAUUCCUAAUCCAUAGGGUUCAAUAUGACGUCGGUCCACACUUUGCAGCUAUAACAGCUUCAGCUCUUCUGGGAAGGCUGUCCACAAGGUUUAGGAGUGUGUUCAUGGGAACUUUUGACCAUUCUUCUAGAAGCGCAUUUGUGAGGUCACACACUGAUGUUGGACCAGAAGGCCUUGCUCUCAGUCUCCGUUCUGAUUCAUCCCAAAGGUGUUCUAUCAGGUUGAGGUCAGGACUCUGUGCAGGCCAGUCAAGUUCAUCCACACCAGACUCUGUCAUCCAUGUCUUUAUGGACCUUGCUUUGUGCAGUGGUGCACAGUAAUGUUGGAAGAGGAAGGGGCCAGCUCCAAACUGUUCCCACAAAGUUGGGAGCAUGGAAUUGUCCAAAAUGUCUUGGUAUGCUGAAACAUUCAGAGUUCCUUUCACUGGAACUAAGGGCCAAGCCCAACUCCUGAAAAACAAGCCCACACCAUAAUCCCCCCUCCAACUAACUUUACACUUGGCACAAUGCAGUCCGACAAGUAUCGUUCUCCUGGCAACUGCCAAACCCAGACUCAUCCAUCAGAUUGCCAGAUGGGAAAGCACGAUUGGUCACUCCAGAGAAGGCGUCUCCACUGCUCUAGAGUCCAGUGGCAGUGUGCUUUACACCACUGCAUCCAGCACUUUGCAUUGCACUUGGUGAUGUACGGCUUGGAUGCAGCUGCUUGACCAUGGAAACCCAUUCCAUGAAGCUGUCUGCGCACUGUUCUUGAGCUAAUCUGAAGGCCACAUGAAGUUUGAAGGUCUGUAGCGAUCGACUCUGCAGAAAGUUGGCCACCUCUUGGCACUAUGCGCCUCAGCAUCGGCUGACCCCGCUCCAUCAGUUUACGUGGCCAACCACUUGGUGGUUGAGUUGCUGUCGUUCCCACCACAUCCACUUUCUUAUACAGCUGACAGUUGACUGUAGAAUAUUUAGGAGCGAGGAAACGUCACGGCUGGAUUUGUUCACUGAGCUCCUGAGAGCGACCCAUUCUUUCACAAAUGUUUGUAAAAGCAGUCUGCAUGCCUAGGUGCUUGAUUUUAUACACCUGUGACCAUGGAAGUGAUUGGAACACCUGAUUUUGAUUUUUUUGGAUGGAUGAGCGAAUACUUUUGGCAAUAUAGUGUAUGUUUAGCUAGCUUUAGGGAGUUUAUCAAGGAAAGGAGCAGCAUGAUAGAAUCUUAUUUGAGGUCUUGUGACGUCAGGCCAGUGAAUGAGUAUUGAAAUAAGCUGGGAUAAAGUAGCAUAGCAAUCUUGCGUCUUAUGUAAUAGUCGUUUUUGCAUUUUCUUUUUGCACAUUUCCCUGUGAAAACAGAUAUAGACUAAGAAUCACAGAAAUGUUUGUGCCAAUACUGAUUAAUUUAAAAUUGCUUCAACUGUUGGUCAUUGCAUUGAGCAAAGUGUAUGCACAGUAGUCAAAAUUCUGAUUAGCUGAACUUUACUCCACAAUUUUAAGAAUGCCCAAAUGACCAAUAGAAAUAAGAUAUCCAGCCAGGCAUGAAAGGCAAAAUGGAGGAAAAAUGUUUUAAAAUUUUUUAAUUAUUUAGUAGGUGAGAUAUACUUUACCUAUUUUAAAUUUCUUACACCCAUUUCUCUCUUAUGACAAUCAGAAAAAGGAACAGAGUUGAGCGAGGAUCGUAUCUAAACAGACAGUAGCCUCUAAUAAUUUCUCUAUUUUUUUGUCUCUUCCUUAUUGUCCUUCUGCUUGUGACCCAGAAAUCAAUCUUAGCGCACCAUCUUUAAAGACGUCUCAAAUGCUAAAAUGCAUUUUGAGGACAGAAAAGGCUGCUGGAGCGUGGAUACAUCUGUACAUCUGUGCUACAAUGAGCAAAAGAAAAAAUUAAACCAGAAGAGGAUACAACCAGGACACGCAACUAAGAGGUUAAUCCUGAGAAGAACAAAAACUACACAGAGAACUGAAUUAAAGUACAGUAUUUCUCUUUACAUUUCUAUUUUUCUGUCAUUAAAUCUGGUGGUUACACUUUCUUUUACUGUAUUGACUGUUAAAGAGCCUGAAUUUUGCGUUUUUUUAGUUUAUAAUUUCAUUUCUGCAGUCUAAUACAAAAUGUUUUGAUGCUUUAUUGUUUAACAAACAUGUAGAUAAGUUUUCAGAUAUUGAUUACAAACUAAAAAGCAGCAAUAUAUCACACUAAAGGUACUCCAAAUACAUGUUGUAUACUGUUAAUGUAUGACUGCAAAACAGAAUAUAUUUGCAGUAAUACAUUAACAGUGUAGUUUUAUUUACACUUUGUGGUCCAAACAAUCCAGUGGUUAAUUUUGUUUUUACAUUAACUUGGAAAUCAUCAAAAAAUGUGAGGAUUGGAAACUUUUUAAAAGUAGCUGUGACAAUGGCAAAUUAAACAAAAAUCUAUGCUGCUCGAGUGUUACUGUCAUGAAAAGACGCAAACAAAUACUGAUAGAUGCUGAUUUUAAUGGACAUUUUCCAUUGAUGCUGAUGUUACAAAUGUUUUUGUAAGAUUUUUUUAUUUCUCCUUAUUUCCUCAAUGUCUGAAGUUUCCACAGUUUUUUAUGCACAAACAUAAAAAAACAGGUGUACAAAAACACAAUUAAUACAAUUUCUCUCUUUUUCCAGAGCUUUCAGUUGCCUCUCAGUCUUAGUAUGUUGAAGGAUGCUUUCUGUGACAACUGAGCAAACUCCUUGUGUUGACGAAGACCAUAGAAUAUGACUGGAAGCAGCUGAGGAAAAAGCACGUAGGUGAAGCUUGAGUUACAGUAAUUUUGUCGAAAAAAUUAUAAAGUCUGAGAGAUAAACUCCACCUGCACGAGCAUAAACUGCAUUUUCAGACACGGACAGCAGAGGUCAGUGUUAUAACAGUAAUGGGAGGUGGUUGUUUUGCGUGUCUGUUACAGAAGAUGUUGCGGUAUUGUUAGCACCAGGCUGCAAAUUUCUAUUAAUUGAACAGCGCAAACCCAGAGUUUUGUUAGUGUUGACUUCACAUUCAGGACAGAAGCUUGUAGAUGAGAUCAGUGUGAAUCUCAGUCAGUCAGUUCAGAAGAAACUUGGGUUUUCUCUCACAGUAACAGAGGCCCCAUUUAUUUAUUUCAAACUCUGUGAAUCGACUGAUCAAGAAGCAAACUGAAGACAUGCAAUGUGAUGGUGGGUGGGUGUGUAAGUGGGUGUCUGGGGGUUUUCUGACCCCUGGGUGGAGCUCUUUCUGCCCUGGCUGUAAUAGACAGGCAGGGAGGGGGAGGAAAAGGUCUUGGCUCGGCUGCUCAGUGGCUGCGGACCGACUAUCAUGUCCAGCCUGUGAGGGAAGCAAACACAUGCACACCGGUACACACAUGCACAAACACACAUAUGUAACACAGAUGUAAACCCGUGCAGCUAUGAAAACGCACGGAUCAGUGCGGUCGAAUAAACACUGUUGGAUCCUACCUGGUCUGCAGACUCUUGAUGCGACACAGCAUGUCCAGGUGACCGGCUGAGUACUGCUCUAUCACAUCUUUCACAUCGUACGGACGCAGCGUCUCCUUAAACUUCUUCUUGGCUACAUGGAACUUCAUUAUCCUGCAGAAAACAAAAAGAACAAGAAACACUAACACAUGAAAGGAAACUCAAAAAGCAGAAUAAGGGCUCUUAAAGUCACAAACUUUGUGCAUGUCAGCAUAUAGUUGCUAAAACAGUGUGGUCCAAAAAUGUCAUUUUCACAUGAACUUGAAAAGUUUGAGGACUUAGAAACUGUUUAUAAGAGGUUGUAUAAAUGAAGCAAACAGUUAAAUCAGCUGCAGUCAUUUAAACAGAAAAAACUAAACAUGCUGAGAGUUUUCACUGAAAUUCUUCAGCUGAUAGGUAUGUUUCUCAUGAAUAUUUUUGUAUUAGACCUAAUUUGUGUUGUCAGACUUUUGAAUGUUAACUUCUCUUUUUUCAACUUUUUCCUUGCACAAGCAUAAAAAUGUGCUUUAAACUGGUGUGUAAAAACGCACUUAAUGCAAAGAUCCAGUUUUACAGUACAUCACUCAAGAAAAAAAAAAAAACAAAACAAAGUUCACAAAUGAGCCAGGAGGGGGAGCUGUGACCCAGCAGCCACAAUGGACAGCUAAUGAAAACAAAUGUCAGCCCACUUCUUAUUUUCUACCUUUUAUAGCUGUUCUAAACGUGUUGCAUUCAGACCAACGACCUGUUUGUUCAACUCCAACACAGGGCACACCUGAACACUCACUUCCCCAGGCCUUAUGGAAACAUCCUGCUGCAGAUUUCAGCUGUGUGAGUGUAAAACGAUCUGAACCUCGCUCUGAAUUUAUGCACCUGUGGAGCCUCAAGGCUGAAUUCAGGGGAGUUUGGCUGAAAGUGGAGAGAGGAGGGACAGACAGCAAUAAAACUGAUCCAAGUGGAGGCGAGACGAGGAAGGAGGUACAGUCUGAGAGCAUCGACAGUCCCACAGAGUAAAGCUGGCAUGUGAGAAGCCUGUAAGUUCAUUUUACUGACGAUACUUGUGCACUUUCAUGUGGUACUUUUUUUUUUGACAUAUUAAAGAUUCUAGGUGCAGAACUCUUACCGACAUCGAGUGCAUUUCCUACUGUGGAGAAUGCAACUAGUUGUCAUUUCUACUUAUAAAAUGUCUGCAUUAGAUUAAAAACUAAACCUCUGAACCCCAUGCACAUUUCUGGAGUUUUUGUGCUCCUAUUCCAUUUUUCCUCACUGUGGGCUCACCUCUAUGGAAACACAACCACUCAGAAAGGCCCUCUAUCCAGUAUGACACUGUUAGAAUUAUAAAUCAACCUUUUAAAAAAAAAAAUCAUUUAUUUGAUUAUUUAUUUUACAGAUAUGACAAAAAAUAUGGAAACAACAUUUACUAGAUUUUUCCAAGUGCCCAUAGCUGUUACCAGCACUGGCAACAAUUGUGCCUAAAUUUUCUGUAGAUGUUUUACUACUUACAUUUUUAAUUUGAUUCCAUACCUGUAUUCUUACUGCUCUGUGUAAACACAGCCUGCAGUUUAGCUGAAAAGUCUCUGAAAUUAUGUCAUGUUACUGUUAUUUACAGCUGAGUCAUGAUUGGCUUCAACGUUACACAGAACAGCACAGAAUUUUUCAUUUUUUACAGUAUUUAGGGACUGCAACUGCUUUAUUUCAGGUGAUUUAUCAUAUCACAUAUGUAGAAUGAAGUGAUUUUGAUAAAAUAUCUCACAUUUAAGCUUAGAUUUGUUUCCAUUGAAACUGCAUGUUCCAGAUAAGUAGUUCAUAGACUGUGGGAAAAUCAAACAUUUAAUAAUAGUUUCUGUUUUUACAGUUUCUGCCUCCAAUAAAUUGUGUCAUUUUGCAGAUUUAUAGAAAUAUAACAUGCCGGCAGGUUUGGGGGUUCAGAGGUUGAGUUUCAGUCUUUGCCAGAUUUACAUUUAUUAAAACACAUUCAAACAUCCAUCCAUUCUCUAUACACUGCUUUAUCCUCACUAGGGUCGCUGGAGUCUAUCCCAGCUGACUCAGGCGAAGGCAGGGGACACCCUGGACAGGUCGCCAGUCUGUCGCAGGGCUACAUAUACAGACACACAAUCACACUCACAUUCAUACCUACAGACAAUUUAGAGUAAUCGAUUAACCUCAGCAUAUUUUGGACUGUGGGAGGAUGCCGGAGUACCUGGAGAAAACCCACACACGCACAGGGAGAACAUGCAAACUCCAUGCAGAAAGAUCCCAGGCCCAGGCCGGGAUUUGAACCGGGUAUCUUCUUGCUGCAAGGCUAUAGUGCUAACCACUAUACCAAUGUGCAGCCCCCCACAUUCAAACAGUUAAACAUAUUUAAUUCCUGCUGGUUCAAAACUUGCAUCUGACAGAUCAUCAUUAAUGGCGGCCGCCAGACAUCCGGCCGCAGUAGCGGCCGAGGCGGCGGCCGCAAACGCCGAUGGACAGCUUAAAUCGUCAUGAAUCCGCCGGUAUAAACCACUUUCAGAUGUGAUCCGGCCGCCGCAAUGGCGGCCGCGGCGGCGGCCGCAAACGCCGAUGGACAGCUUAGAUCGUCAUGAAUCCGCCUAAUUUGCAUAGGAAUUUAAAGAAUGUCCGGUGGCCGCAGCGGCGGCCGCAAACGCCAAUGGACAGCUUAGAUCGUCAUGAAUCCGCCGGUAUAAACCACUUUCAGAUGUGAUUACCACAGCGGGUUUCGCUCAUGGUGAGCUGCACGAAAAACAUGACGACAUCGUGUUGGAGCGCACGAAACCGAAACAAAAACUGACGUGACAGUUUCACGAAUCCCCGUGAGACCGUGUUGACCACACACACUGUGUCCUUGUAAUCACCUUACAUAGCUUUGCAGCGUUAAUGUUCCCACUAACCAAAUUUCCUGUCUCUGCACACUGAGACGAUCUAAAAAUAAGCUAAAUAAAAGUCUUCCGGUCACUUUAAUCCUCAGGAGAGCUGAUGGACAACAGGGGGCUGCAGUCACGGUUGGUUAUAGGCGGCAAAAAACAGGAUUAGCUGGAUUGGAGGAGUCAUUUUCUUUGUCUCACCUGACAGCUCUGAUGACAGACUUGACUGAGGGCAACAAGUCCUCCACAGAGAUCUCACAAUGGCAUCCUUUAUCAUCAAAACCAUCCUCAGCUGCCAUGUUGGACUCGCCUGUAUAGAGAGAAGAGGCAGAGGAGGAGGAGGAUUAUUCAUGUUUCUGUUUAGUGAUCAGGCCACUUUGUGUCACAUGUGACAUUUAACAUGAAGACCAACUACAGGCUCCAGUGAGAAGAAUACUCAAACACUUCAGCUAACUCCAAAAAAAGCAGCAGAUUUUUUGCUUUGAUUGUGGUUUCACUCACAAAUCACAACCACUUUGCAGCAUUUUGGUGUUGCCGGUAGUCAGUCAUUAUCCAACAACUUCUGGCUGCUUAUUUAGCUCUAUUUAGUGCCAGUUAUUUAGCUCCCACUAGCUCCAAGUAGCCCAUGUCAUAUGGAUCUUGUUAGCUCAUGUUUCCUAUACAUAGCUCCUUUAGCUUCUCAUGACUUGUACUAGAUUGUGUUUGCUCCAGUUGGCUGCAUUUGGCUCGAGUGAGCUCAUUUUAGUGUCAUUUAUCUGCAGGUGGCUACCAAGCUCGAGCCUCAAUAGGUUCAUUGUCAGCACCUAUUAUUUUCCAAAUGGUUAAACUUAGCUAAACCUAGCCCCUAAUGUCUCAUGUUAGCUCUUCGUGGGUCCUGUUAGUUAUAGAUAGGCAUUGGCAAGAGGAAGCUCCCAAAAGUUUCAGCCCCUGCUGGAUGUGUUCUGUUAAGUCCUGUUGGCUUGACAUGGUGUCUGUUAGCUCCAGUUGGAUGCACUUUGCUCCAGUUAGUUCAAUUUAAUGACAUUUAUCUGUAGUUGACCAAUGUUUUAGUUGUAUCCCAUUGCCUUCAGCUAGUUUGUUAGCUCCUGAUAACUUUUGUUAGCUCUUACUAGUGAAGGAAAGUUCCACUUAGCUCUUUUGAGCUUCAGAUAAACUCUGCUAGCUUCCAAUGGCUACUGUCAGCUUCUAUUAGCUCCAGUUGGCUCUGGUUGUGUCUCUUUGUGACUUUUGUAAUCUACUGUUAGCUUCAGUAGUUUUUUGUUAACACCUAUUAGCUUCUGUUAGCUCCAAUCAGCACCUCUUAAUUUCAUAUGGCUCAUAUUAGCCUCUGAUAGCCCCCAUUAGCGUCUAUUAGCUAAAAACAAGGCUCCAGUUAGCUCCUUUGAGAUUGACAUAUUUUCUGCACGUUUUUGAUGGCUUCCUUUUGCUCCUGUGCUCUGUCAGCUCCGGUUGGAUCCACUUAGGUCAUUUUAUGUGGGGUUACCACUGGUUAGUAGCUGGUUCUGCAUUAAAAUGACAAUAAAAUGCACUGUAAACGUGCAGUGUGGGAUAGUUGCAUUCCAAUCCAUUAUAAACCACAACUUUCAUGGUACAUACAGGGAUUUGGUCCAUCUGUUUUAAUAAUAGUUAAUGCUUUAUAUAUCAGCUUUAGGAACCUGUAUAAUUCUACAACAGAAAUGUAGCCGUUUUUUCUUAAUUUUGUGGUAUAGUAACAAAGUAGUUUUGAUUUUGGGGUUAAAAGUCUGAAUAUAAUGAUACUAGGGAGUCAAGUGAACUAAGGGUAGAGGAGAAAAUUGAUUUUGAUGAAUAGAAAAUCAGUGUUUAAGAGUAGACCUGUGCAGAUAAAUCACGAACAGCUGUUUAUGGGCACGCUGAGGAUUUGAACUGAGUUUUACAGUGCAAAGUUCAGCUGUUUGUUGUGUUUAACCACACAUUGUAAAUGACCUCAGGUAAGCACCACUUAGUCCACAGCAUGCUGGCUGCUGUGUGAUGAAAAACAGAGCUGAUUAAUGAUUUGCUCCAUUAACAAAUGUUCCUCUAAAACAACUUCUUGUUCUAAUUAAGCUGUAAUGGCAUGCAAAUGUUUCCCAUCCUCUAACAUGUCAGUGAAUAAUCAGACAUCCAGCCAGUUAGGUUUUGGCUGGUUUGGCUGUAGACUCCUCUCCACCGGCAGCCAGCUGGACGCUCUGACAGCCCAUAUGGCUGCUUCCAUCCAUCCAUCAGUCCACCCACAAACACCAACUGGCUGCUGCCCGCGACGGCUUGUCAGGCCGGCACCGCCCGGACAGAGGAAGCAGCCAUUAGCAUUCCUGCACUCGGCUGACUGAAUUAGUGGGUAAAACCAGCUAUGGUGGUCGGCCAAGAAGACUCAAACAGCCAGUUAAAGGAACAGUCUGACACUUAGGGGGAAAUGUCUUUUGCUUUCCUGUUCAAAGUUUGAUGAGCAGAUAGACACUGGGAGCAGAAGAGGUUUUUACACAUUUUGUAGGGGAUUAAUUGUAUGUUUUAAAUUGGUUAAAAAAAAUUAGAUGAGAUUCAGAUUAAGUUUGUCAAACCUAAAUUUGUAUAAUAAACAAAACUGUAGAGAGAUAAGCUUAAUAUUUAAGUUACACAAUAAAAUUUUUUACUUUCUAAAAUAAUAUCUUCUUAUCUGGAUAGUUUUAAUUUUGCUAUUUUAAUUUGUCAGAUAAAUUUAUAUAACAAUGUUAUUGGAGAUUAGCUGUAAUUUUUUUUAAAAAAUUUGACGAAUAAAUUUACACUAUUUUUAAUAUUGUGGCGUCUUGAGAUUUAAAAAAAAUGGCCUAAUUUAUGUAAUAAAUAAUACUGUACGGUCUUAGUCUUGUAUCUUAAAUUUCAUAUAAAUAAGGUGAAUUUCUUCUUUAUAUAAAAAACUGAAAGGGUUUACCAUUAAUAUUUAGAUUAAGUAAAAUUUGUCGGGUAAAUUUGUAUUAUAAAUAAUAUUAUAGGGUCCUAACUGUGUUACUUGACUUAGUCAAAAAAAUCAGAUUAGUAUAUAAUAUAAAAAGAGUCCUAACUUUGCUAUUUAAAUCAACCAGGUAAGUGUCUAUAACAUCUGAUACUGUAGGGUCUAAACCCUUACAUUUAAACUUGUUAGGUAAAGUGAGAACAUUGAUCUUAAUUCUCUAUUUAAAAGCACUUAGGCUUUUGUUUUAAAUGUAUGAUGUAAGUAAAGGUGACUGGAUUUAUUUAAUUAAGGAUAAAAAUGAGGUAUAAAAUGGUAAACAGUGAACAGAGUCAGGUAGAACAGGUUUCCUCUCUGUUACCAGUCUUUGUGCUCAGCCUAAUUAACAGUCUCCUGUUUAACAAAAGUGGAGUUUUUAAGAUUUGUCAUUAACUUCAUACUAACAAUAAACUGAACUCUGUAUGUGGAAAGGAUAAAAAUGGAAGCUCUUAUUGACCCACAGCUCAGUAAAGCAUUUGUGAUUGGCCCUCACCGUCCGUGGUGGAGCGUGACUGGCUCUUGAGGCGGAGCGAAGGCCUGAAUCUGGUGCGGUCGUUGAAGCUCCAGCUCUUCUGGACCUUGGCGGGACUUGUUCCCUCGGUGCCGGCAUCGGCCCCCGGGGACCGCCGGUCGUUUACAGAAGACGUCUGCCGGUUCUUGAUGCUCUGACCGCGGGGGCUUGCCAUCCUCACCCGCUCCUUGAAGCUCAACUUCUGGCUGGAAGUGGGAUGAAGAGCAGCACAGCAGAGGAGUCGGAACGAAGAGAAGGAGAAGAAUGGUGUGAAACGACAGACAGGUGAAUAAAUAUGUGUUAUUGAUGCAAGUUUUGAGGCAACAACUUAAGUUACUUAAGACUUUUGGCAAAUAGUUGCUCCUUUAUUUGGUCUCAUCACAUGUCAGCCAUCAUUCAGAGUUCUAAAGUCAGGUUUAAGGGCUGCAGGACAACAUGGAGGAAGACCAGCAUGCAUUGCAGCAGGUGCUUUACACAAAAUGCAACCCGUUGUUAGGUAUGAUGCUUCAGCUGCGUCAUGAUGCUUGGCGUUUAAGCAAAUUACAACUAGUGUUGUACUGUUAUAGCAGAAGGUUAAACUGUACUGAAUGUUUUUGAUUUAUUGCACAUAAUGUGUCAUUUAAGAGUAAAUUUAUGGUUAAAAACAAAUAAAAAUGUCCUGACCAAACAGGAGAAGUGGUGUAGAGACCUUAAAGAGCCCAUAUUAUCCACAUUCAUAGGUUUCUUUUUGUGUGUCUACUAUAAUACGUUUACAAGCUUUAAUAUUUAUAAAUGAAUAUUUUUCUCAUUUAUGUUGCUGCAGCACCUCCUCUGUCGGAAAAGCUCAGUUUUCGCUCAGGCCCUACCUCCUGAAAAGCCGAGUCAGCUCUGAUUGGUCCGCUGGUCCGACGAAAACCAGGUAGCGUUGCUUAGUAACCCCAGAUCUAUCAGUUUAGAGAUUUUAGUUCCAGCAGACACAGCUUUAGCAAGGAAAUAGCAACGGGCUAUAAAACAGCUGUGCAGGUAUUGUUUCGUACAUGAUGAUGUUGAUAAGUAAUAGGACAAAAAAGUAGACUUUAAAGGAAGUUUUUCAGGCAUCUAAGGAGCAGUUUUCUGGUGGCGGGAAUAACUCUCUUUGGUCUGACUGGCGUUUUUGUGAGUUUGCAGACUUUUUACAUGCACAAAAACCAAGUGAAAUAACACUAAAGGAAAAAAUAAAUAAAAGCAUAAUAUGGGCUCUUUAAGGGAUUGUCUGUAUUUACGGAGCUAUAUAAGAAAAUGAAAGCAUGCAGAGGCAGUGCAUAAGCGUCAGGCAUAGCUCAUUUGAAAACACUAUGGUGUAUUGGGCUGAACAUCUGUUGUUUUGCUUCAGAGUCUAAUGCUUGUAUCUAUAUUUUUCCUACUUUAAGCAAUUAUGAAAAGAAAAACAAUUAGUUAUCGUGUCUCUCAGCACUUUUUCACUGUAAUUGUAACAUCCUAGUAAUAUCCUAAAACAGCGGGACACUGUAGGUUUUAACACAUGAUUCUUCAACAGGUGUACAUUAUCACACUAUUUCAAGUUGUGGAUCAACCCUCUGAAUCCUAGAAGCUGCCCGUAGGUUUGAAAGGCAAAAAAAUUAAAAUUAAUAUGACACCAAAAACAGAGAGCAUCGUCACAUCUUCAACUUUCUGACAGUCUUUAAAUUAUCCAUGUGUGAAAGUGAACCAAAUCUAAGCUUGAAAUCAUUCAUCAAAAUCACUAUUUUUAAACAAGUCGACACUACUUGGUGCAACUCAUCUGCAGCCAACAGUCAUGACAUGAAAAUUCAGAGUUCUUAGAUGGAUUGCAGACUGUGUUUACAUAGACCAGAGAAGAAAAUGAAACAUAUUUGAUUGAUGAAAUAAAUACAGCCUGACUCAAAAACAGUAAACAGAGGAGCAAGUUGUUGGAAGAUACAUUUGGCAUGGACGGUGAAACAUUUUUUUACAGUUGAUUUGCUGAGUAGUAUGAAAAAGGUUGCAAAAUAUAAAUAGUUAAAUAUCUAUGGCAUGUGGAGACACUAUUGUUUUGCCAGAGUGGUAAAAAUAUUGAACAUAUUGAUUCCAAUUUUUUUCAAUUUUUGCAAAAAAAAUGUUUUAUAAAAAGGAUAAUCUUGGGGAAAAUUUAAAAAAAUCUAAACUUAAAAUCAUAUUUAAUCAAAGUCACUAUAUUCUACACAUCUUGUUUAAGAAUUUGCCAAAAAUGAACCCUUUGCAGUAACCAGAUUCUACAAAAAAAAUAAUGCAAAAGCAAACUGUUUCCACAGAGCAGAAAGCCGACGCCUAUGGAAGCAAAUUAUAAAUGCAAGUAGUAAAAAUAGGUACGAUGUGUCGGUAACACCUGUGGUUAGAUCAAAAAUGACGAACAUGGUUAUUCCAGGUUACUUAAAUUUUUGCAAAAUAAAGAAAAAAAUUCUACUUUUUUAUUAUGGUAUGAUUUAGUGCACAAAAGUAGCCUAGCCGUGCUAGACCCAUGCUCUGAAGACACAAGGGUCUAGGCACGCUCGACAGGGAGGGAGGCGGGCUAAAAGGUUGUCUAUCAAAUCACUCUGCAGCAAUUGGAUAGGUAUACAACCAAUCAGCGCAACGAAUAGGCUGACGUAGUUCCUACAGCGCCGGAAAUCAGAGGAUGCGGUAAUUCGGUGAAGCCUUAUUUAUACAGUCAAUGGGUGAAGCUCAAGUAUAUUACAGACAUGUUAACAGAAAGAUUAUUCAGAGUCGGUGCUAAUGGAGCUCAACGACUGUUGUCGUUUUUGUUGUCGACCCUGGCAGAGAAUUAAAUUCGUUGCCGUGGGUUGUCUAGCGCGGCUAGGCUAGUUGUUUCCGGUUGUUUCUCUCAGAAUCGUCGCGCCUCUGUCGUCACUUAGUUAUGCCCGCCUUCUGACUCUACACUUCAUGGUGAUUCGUCCGGCCAGUUUGAGGAGCAUCCAACCUCGAGCCUUAUAGAGGGUAACUAGACCCACCCUGGCAGAGAAUUAAAUUUGUUGCCGUGGGUUGUCUAGCGCGGCUAGGCUAGCACAAAAGACAAUUUUGAGUUAAUUCUUAUUCUAGUCAUGGUUGUGUGUUGCAAUCAAAAUGUAGGACUUCAUACUACCGUGAAAAAUGAGCCCACAGUGAGGAAAAAUGUGUCAGGAGUGCAAAGAAAUGCAAAAAAAAAGGAGGAUCAGAGGGUUGAUACACAUUUGGUACAGUAGUGAGUGUUUACAAUAGGCAGAAGCUGCAAGUGUUCAUGAUAAUGAUAGAAUUACACAAACACAAAGAUUUUUAGCAGUUUUUUCAAACUAAAAGUCAUCUUGAGCCUUACAGACACUACCGGACAGUUUAAAAUUUGUUAAUGUGUUAUGGGGAGUGAAGCGCAGUUUAUAGUUUCGAAGCAAGAAAUAAAAAAUUAAGAUAAUGCACUACGCAAGAGAUCUUCUGUCUCACUGCAUUCAAGGAAGAAGCUGAUAAUUGUUAGUUGCUUGACAGCGACUGUCAGUGAGAGUGAAACCUGGCACAGACUCUAAUGAUCUGACAGCUAAAAACAAAAACCACAACAGGCAGAAAGUAGCGCAUCGCUCAGGCAAAUAUCAAAGACAGAAAGGCAGAUACUGUACUGCUAUGAAACCUCCCUGCAGGAUUUAACCGGCUCUGCUGCCUCCUACAGAUACCCAUGCACCAGGAAUUAGUCAGCAUUCCCAAAGAAAAACUGCACGUAGCAGGGAAGCAGAGAUGCUGUGUACCUAUGUCUCCGAGUGGUACACCUCCUCAGUAGCUUCUGCUUAUUACUAUGAAUUUUACUAUAAACCAAGAGGAGAUAGACAUACGGGGAUGUGUUACAUGAUGCAGAAACGGAGGAGAGAAAAGUGUUUUGUUUUUUUUUUUGCAAUGUUUAGUGCAGAUAUUUAGUUCUUCUGAGUCAAAACAACAUUUCAGAAAUCCACAUUGUCAUUCUUCAAGGAUAAAUUACCUAACUUUUACCUUUUAUAUGUUUCUUAUUGAGAUAUUCACAAUCAUGACUAGUUACAAGCCCAGUUUCAGGGAUCUAAAGUUUAAUUCCGACGAGUCACAAUUCUGUAGUAAGAUAUCUUCAAUUCUCUUCUACAUUAUUGUUUUCACAUAAAUGAAACUUAAACUGGUCAAAAUAUAUCUUGAAUUAACUAAAUAAUGUUGCAGAUAUCUGUUGUUACAUCAGAAGCUACAGCAAGUGGAAGAUGGAGGAAUAUGACGCACCAUUGUAACAUUCAAUUCAAAUUACAGAUAUUAACAACUACAUUUUGACUAGUUGUAGUUACACUGAGACUAGUCAGUAUUUAUAUUCAAGAGGAAAGAGGUAGUGCUAAGUUGUAGGGAAAUAAAAAUAGUAAAAACAAAUACAGAGCAGAGAACAAGAGCUUCAUUCAUCAGACACUUGAAGUGGAAAUGUACAGGAAGUUAAACCUCCAGCAGCUCUGACAUGGAGGUAAAACCAUUAAAGUGAUCAUAUGUAAUUAUAACCACAGUGUCCUGAAGAUGUUAGCUAGCAAGCAGGUUUAUUUACAUAGCAGAAACUGUACAGACAGAAAGCAUUUUUUCAACAUUUUGAAAAAUGUGGGAAAAUAAAUCCAAUCUAAGGUGGGAAUUAUUCAUCUUUUUUUUGUUCAAAAUUCAUCAAAAAUAAACCACCACAUUCUGUUAAAAAAGCCAUGAGAGACUCAACCAUGACCAACAGUCAUUUCAUAAAAAUUCAGUUUUCAGAUGAACUACAAACCAGGCGUGAGAUAAAAAAAAAACAUAGUGAAUCAAUAAAAUAAAUACAGCAUGGUUCAAAAAAGCAUACAGAGAAGCGAGCUGUUGUAAAAUACAUUCAGCGUGGUGAAAUAUAUUUUCACAGUUGAUGUACAGAGUUGAUAACUGCAGCUUGUAAGAGGUAAAUUAAUCAAUCCAAAAAAAUCCAGCUUCCACUCACAGCAGCUUCUGAUACCACUACAGAUAUCUGCAACAUCAUUUUUCCAAGUCAAAACUCUAAUUUAGUGCAUCUGUGAUCACAUUUUGACCGAAAUUUCAGCUUAAAAUAUCUACAAUAUCAUUCUGACCGGUUCAAAUCUAAUUCAAGAAUCUAAAAUAGCUUGCUUUAGAGAAGAAUGACCUUUUGUCCUGUGGGUCUUUGACCCUUCUCCUGUUUCUUGGUUUAUGUGCGUUUAUUCCUUGUCAUGCUAAAGACUGUAUGUACGAGCUCAGUAAAGUAUGAAGGAAUACAGCAGCCACCACAGGCGCUUCAGUUUGUCGACCACUGACAUUUAGAAGCUGCACAACGGAGGCAGUUGAGCCUAGUCGAAGAAAAUGAAUAUCUACAGCGCCGUUUGAAAAAGGCUGCAAUUUGGUGACUCAUGCACUUAAUGUCGAUAUCCCUCAUUUAACUAUGUGAAUUCAGCCGGGCCAUGGCAACAAGUGUGUGAAUCACCAGUGUGAGGCUGCUAACCUUUAGACAGACACUUGUGGGUUCACUGAGGGCUUUAGGAUGCACAUCCUUUUGUUUUUGUGUGUCAUCUUUUCUCCCAGCUGCGUUUUAUCACCGCUUUUUUCUCCUAUAUACUGUAUCUGUGAUGUAUUACUUUACAAAUCCUGAUAAUAAAUAAAAUACGGCAGCUCACGUUGGACUGUGGCUUUUAAUCUCUUGCGGCUCUGCAGAGGGGAUGUAAAUAGAGCUGGGGUUGUUUUCCCAGAGCCUUCCUCGCUCUUAGAGAUUCUACAUUACAGUGUGGGAUGAGUUCUCUGCUUGUGUGUUUCAAUCUGCUUAUUUUAUUGACUUUUUCCCAUUGUGUGGCUCCAUCUGCACUGCGGUACAGUUCAUAUAUGCCACCGGGCUCGAGGUGAAAAAAACAGCACAACUGCCUUCAGGUUGCUGUGGUGUUUCGCAGACAAAUAUUUAUUGGUGUUUCAUAACUGCAAGCAAAACACAUUACAUCACACAGCCCCCACUGGCCUCCUCGAAUCAGUCUGAAAGCGCUAAAACACUAACAACCACAAAACACAUCAAAAUAACAUUUCUAAUAAGUGUGUAACAGACACCUGCAGCAGGAUGGUAAAAAUCAGACAAAAAUAUGUCGUGUAUGUAGGUGUGUUUUUAUUUCAGUGACUCAGUAUGUGUAUGUGCAUGUGUAGCAAUAAUAAAGAGAGAUAAAACACCAAACAGAAAGAUAAAACAGUGAGUCAUAGAGAGUGCUUGUGUAAAAGUGGCAGGACAACAUGGCAUCACCCACAACCCAAACCUGCUCUAGUUAAAGCGACUUUACUGUUGGAAAUCUUUAGAUACCGUGCAGGUGACAGGCUGAGAGGGAGGGUUGUUUCCAGUGCUAUUUGUUCGUCUAUCAGCAGAGUAACACAAAAAGCAGCAGGCAGAAUUUCAUGUCGACCAUAAGCAAAGGAGCACCCAGUACGUUUUCUACUGCAGGAACUUGAACGCUCUUUUAGACCUGAACCUUUGCACAUGUGCCAACUAGGGAUGCAAUUUUUUCACAGUUUCUUCAUCGGUAGUCUUCCACGUUAACUAUCAGUAACUAAUUUAUGCUGCUUUUCAACGCUGCAUCGUGGCCCCAGAUCAUGAUGCUGCCUCCACCAUGCUGGUCAAUAUGAUUUGGCUGUUUUGAUUGUUGAUUUUGUGCACGUUUAUUAAAAAUAUAAAAUGUAAAACAGCAUUCACCAGCAUCAAGUCAUUUGUAGUAGAUGCAUCUUUAGCUGCAGUUACAGCAUUCAAUCAAUCAAUCAAUCAAUCAAACUUUAUUUGUAUAGCACUUUUCAUACAAACAGAGUUGCAACACAAAGUGCUUCACAGAUUAAGACUGUGUUGAUAGAUCUCAAUCAGCGUGAACAUUGUAAUCUUACCCCAUUAUUAUUUACACAACUGAUCCAAAUCCCAUUUCAAAACAUUCACCUUGUCUUUAAAUCAUUUCUUUGAAUUUUUGACUGUUUGCUUCGUGUCACUGUCUUAUCAGAAAACAAAUCUUCUACCAACUUGCAGUUCUCUUGCAAACUGCAUCUGAUUGUCCUCCAGGAUUUACCUACACUUUGCUGAUUUCAUUUUACCCUCUGCCUUUACAAGUCUUCCAGGGCCUGCUGCUGAGAAACAUCCCCACCUCAUGAUGCUGCCACCACCAUGCUUCACAGUGGGGAUGGUGUGUUUGUGAUGAUGUUGUGUUGUGUUCGCCAAACAUAACGUUUAUACUAAUGGAAAAAACUGCUUAAUUUUCGUGUAAUUAGACCAAAUAAGCUUCUUUUAGUUGACGUCGGAGCACUUAUUCUAUGUGCUGUGGAUGCAGUGAAAGUGAAAGAGUAGAGUUACAAACCUUGUCGUCGACUCUCCCUGCUCCUUCCUGGAGUUGACACAUGAGAAAAAGGGAAAAAUAUAUAUAUGAAAAAAAACAUAUUUUCACAAGGCUUCACUGUUAACACAGUGCUCAAAAGACAACACUGGUGCUUUUGUAUGUUUUGGCCCAUUUGUUUCAUAUCUCAUAGACUUGUCAUGUUGCUGCUGUGUUUCCAAAAUCUGAUUUAAUUUUUGCCACUGGCUUCCAUUUAUUUUUAUACAAAAUAAUAACAAUAAAACAAACAUUUUACAUGGUUUUGAAACUGGUUUAAGUUCUAUAAAUCACCACUGUCAGCAUCCAGUCUGUAUUAACUUUAUUGUGAGGUAAUGCCGUGCAGAAAUUUAUAUCCAGUUUAUACCUUAAAGGUGAAUUCUGGCUGAUCCUAACCUGGUGCUUUUCCAGUGCCAACUUGGUAGAGAUUAUCCUGUGAGGAAAACCCUCACCCUCGUAGAAAAAUGUUUGAAAUAAAGAACGUGGUUUUUGGAAAGCUGCUGGAAGCUCACACUUGUAGCUGUUUUGUGGGAGUCACAAUAAAUACAUUAAUGGGAAAUACAGCAGGUUGAAAUAAACCUGAAUUCUCUUUUAACAGCAGAUACCACUAAAUGUUCAAAGUGAUGGAACUAUGUAACUCGACAGUUUGCUGCUUUUCAGCUGCAGAAGUUAUACUGUGCAGCAUUCAGUGACAAUCAAUGGAUGCCUGGAGCUUAAUUCCUUAAAAAACAAACAACGCCGGUGCGCAAUUAUUUCAAGUGUACAUAAUUUGCAGUUGAGGAGCUAAAACAUGCAAACACACCAGUGCAGAUCUUUAAAUCAGCAUGAAAGGCAGAUUUUUCCAUUGCAAGCGGCUGCUUCUUUUACAAACGCAGAGGAUAACGUGCAUCUCGGGGGGAACCUUAAAGAACAGGCCAGCUACAAACAUGCAGGUCCAAGCAGACUAAAGAAGCAGCAGAAGGAGAUCUGUGGACUUAAUCACUUUAAAGGAUGUGUGUUCUGUACUUUAUUACUGCAGUUAAGCUAAUCAUGACUGUAACUGUGCAUUAUAAGCAUUGCAGAUGGUUGUCCCAAUAUUUCCAGGCUCCAUAGAAGGUUUCUAAGUGAAAUCAUAGUGAUGUGUGCACACAAUGGCGGUUAAAAAAAGUGAACCACAAGGACUGGGAGUUUAGAGGGAGAUUCACAUUAAACAUAUUUGAUGCACAAAUUGCCAAAGUGAGAAAUAUUCGGCAUCCAAAGGGGGAAAGCUCCCAGUUAAUGCAGCUCAAGGUGCAAAAUUAUCAACAGUUUUAGCAUUUAGCAACCUGACCAAAGCUGUGGAUUACUGCAAAACCGUGGCUAAUUUUAAAUAGAAUUUUAAUGUUGGUAUGUUUGGAUGAAACAGAAGUUCAUACAUGCUAAUCUUGCUAAAGCUAACAAUAAAGAACUGCAGUAAAAUUGGUUUGAAGUUGUCAGAUAUCACACUUGAAGCUAACUUUUAUUGUGUUUGGCUCCGUAAAUCAGUCUCAGAAGCCCGUGCACACCUUUUGUCCUAGAUUUUAGAAAUCCAAAAACACUUGCGGAAUAUACUAUGGUGUAAUAAACACUGUUACACCAAUCUAUGUUUUUAGUGUUGGCAUAUAUAAAACUAGAACAUGCACAAUCAGGUCCUCCAGUAGUCGAUUAGAGAAGAAUAAAUAACAACUGUCCCACUUUUUAUUAAUGGAAAUCCUUACUCUUGGCCUCCAAUCUUUGAACUUCAAGCUGUUUCUGGUUGUUUUUUGUUUGUUUGCUUGCUUGCUCAUGUUACAUUUUUCACAGCAAUAAAAGUCUGCACCUCCAUAGAAACAGAAGAACCACGAAGAAGGAGAGAAAACAGCUACAAUGAUGGAGAUCAGAAAUAAAGGGAAAAAAUGUAACUUGAAUUUCUUUGUGUAUUUUAUGGAAACUGAAAUAACCUGGAAUCAACAUGUGUAACAGUUUAGUGUCUACAGAUGUUACUAAUACUAGAAAAAUAUGUUGGCUCUACAUGCUAGAGAUAUUUUACUGCUUACAUUUUUAUUUUGCAGUUCAGCCAAAUAGUCUCCGCUGAGUCACUGAUGCCUUCACAGCUGUGCCAGGGGACACAAAAUGUUCAUUUGAGUAAAUUUACUGUGAACAAUGUUUUUGUGUGUGAAUUUUUCAAUGAAGCAUGUGGAAUAAAGUGUUUGUGAUAACGAU
Acanthochromis polyacanthus (spiny chromis) is the source of this 19662-nucleotide long non-coding RNA. RefSeq lists it as uncharacterized. The transcript is spliced from 2 exons. The record is from RefSeq and is a predicted model, not a curated record. Lineage: Eukaryota; Metazoa; Chordata; Actinopteri; Pomacentridae.